This 731-nucleotide long non-coding RNA is filed under the name Brassica napus (rape). RNAcentral describes it as "long non-coding RNA (BNAP_LNC025065)". The record is from RNAcentral. Lineage: Eukaryota; Viridiplantae; Streptophyta; Magnoliopsida; Brassicales; Brassicaceae.
GUCAUAGCCAUCUGACAUGUCUGACACUGUGACACAAUGAAGCUACAACUCUCUUCAUACUAGACCAAUUACAGUUAACACUUCAUAUCUUUGUACGCCUUGGUGUUCCCGAUGGGUAGAGAAACACGAGUGAUGCAUUUGCUGUAAGAUUCUUUUUCUUAACAGCUUAUCGUCCAACACACAACUCGAUUUCAGUACAGGUACAUCCCGCUCAACACUUAUGAUAACAAUACUCCCAAUAUCGAUCGUCUUACAAAGCCAUAACGCUAACAUGUGUUUGGGGUAUCCUCCAUAGCAAAACUGCCUGCUCCAAAGUCCCAAGGCCAUCUGUCUCUCCAUCGACAGUAAUGGCACACAAUCUGAGACUAGCCAAUAUCCCAGUAAACUCAUGAACCUCUUUGGUUCCUGAUACGUCGUUCAUGUGCCUAUCCAAGGCAUUUGUCACCUGGUUGUCUUUACCAGAUGGUAUGCAAUGUCCAAACUGUAGCCUGCUACCAACUCAAUCCAACUGCACUGUCUAAGUACAUGUUUUAAUGAAUGAAGAUAGAUUUCAGCCUCCAAUGAUCCCAGAGAAUCUGAACUUCCUUCUUGUACAAUUACAAUCUCCAAAACUAUAACGCAAAUACCACUGCAGCCACUACGAAUCAUGAAUAGGGUAGUGGGUCUCGUGAGGUCUCAACUGAUGCAAUGUAUAUAGAAUGACCUGAUCCUCAUGCAUCAAUACAAAAUGC